Molecule: long non-coding RNA, 649 nt
Organism: Microcebus murinus (gray mouse lemur)
Lineage: Eukaryota; Metazoa; Chordata; Mammalia; Primates; Cheirogaleidae
Source: RefSeq, a predicted model, not a curated record
ACUCGGCCUUUUGCGUCUGGGAAGCGCUGUACUUGGGUGUACGCAGGCUUUGUGGCUGUGUGUUCUGUGCGCCAAGAUGAUAACUGGGGCGAAACUGACUGGCUUAGCUAAAAUGCAAGGGACGCGAGAAUCGUGUUGUAGCGGUGGGUCAGGGUCAGCUUUGGAAACCUCUCGGCUUAGACGCCUGACCGGACUGCGGCGCCCCUUAGGUCACGGGGCGGCCGCGUGCGGCCCCGGGCCCUAAACCCCGGCGCGCCUGGGCCACGGCCCGGGGGAAGGUUCCGAGCACCUGACGGCCGCGGCCAAGGUCGUUAGUGCCGCCAUCGGUGUCGUGUGGCCAUCUUGAGUCUGCUGUCACUGUUCCUGGGCGUCGGCACCCUGAGAACCGCCAGUUUGACCCCGACGGAAGCUGAGCUCGUUCUUGAUUUGUGAUGGAAAGAUGACAAGGUAUCAAAUCCAAAGUGAUCGUGAGCGAAGUCUUACAGCAGUAUCCUGCAGUGGAUUACCAAAACUUCUUAAUCGUACUUGGAGGAAAAGGUGUUUCCAGUAAUGCUCUGGAAACUACCGGGGCACCAACUUUAAAUAUAGGCCUGAGUUUUUUAGAGGGGGUUCCUUGAUAAUUAAAUAAAAUGCUUGAUUCAUGUGGAAA